GGUAAACGGUCUUUCAACCGUUUACAUAGCAUGUCGAAAGAUGGAAUGUCGAAAGAUGGAAUGUCGAGAGACGGUCGGAAGAUGUCACCUAUGCACGUAACACUGAAAGAGGGUGUAAUUUUUUUUUUUUUUUGUAUUACGUCGUCUUUGACUUUUACCUACUUAGGGAAACUAAAACCGUAAAUGAAAAACAUAGAUUGCUCGCAAUUAAGGACCAAACCAUUCUAAUAUGGAAAGUGGUUAUUUUAGGACUUCUUAAAAAGGAGGCAAAGCCACAUAAAACAUUCAGUUCCCCACGGAGAGCUAGCCUGUUAGAAAGGUUUCGCUUAUCGGGGACGACUGACCGUUUGAAGGAAGAUAUCUAAAGAGAAGACUCUAGCGCGUAAAGAAAGCUAUGGAGGCGAAGCUUUGUUUGGUCCUGAUGUUGAUUAUUUUGGGCAUCCUUACCGUACAAGGAGCAAUGCCAAGAAACAAGAAGAAGAACCCCUUGGAAGUGCUUGAAAGGAGAAUUGUUUGUAAGAGUUCCUGUGAUCCAUUGAUAAAGAUAGUCUGUUCGUUUUUAAUUGAAAAUCUAACGGGUUAAAAAAGAAAAAAAAAUCAGUUUGUUCUGAACUAAAGAAAUAAAACUGCGUUUUCAACAUUCUCCUGCGUAGUGUGGACGCUUCAUUACAAGGAAAUUUACGGGGAGGGGAAGUUAAGACAGUUCUGCUAGGAAAGAGGUAAAUUUGCCAAACAAUAGGAAAAAAACUGUGUGAAAGCCGGUGCCUAUUUGUUGGUUAUGACGCGCAGGUCCCAGAUGAAUUGGAUGGAUGGAUGGAUGGAUGGAGGACUUUACUUAAACACGAUAGUUCCUUUCAGUAACAUUCAAAAAUUAUCGAGCAAAUCAAUUGGUUGUUUGUCCCUCAAGUUUUUCGGCCUACUGAAAAUUGUAACUCACAACUGUUGUCAGCAUAAACUAAUAUAGAUUCUUAAAUCUUACAAACUUCGCGAAGGGAAAAUGUAAGUCCACUUCAUUUGACAACAAAUGUGAACCACGAAAAUAGGUCGAAGAAACAAUCUCGCUUUUAAGGUCAGAGGUGACCCCAUUUUUCUUGUGAAUGAAAAUAAUCGGUAGGACAAGAACGGUGUUUGUACACUUUAUUGACUUCUAACUGUUUUUAAAACUAUAUACUUGUUCGCGUCCUAGCAGCAGUACGCGCAUAUGGCACAUGCCAUCACGUGUGGCACACGCGAUGGCGCAAUUUGUUCUAAAAUAGCAAAAUUCGUCUCCGUCCCCGAUUAUGGCUUCUUCUUUGUGUCAGCUAUAAAGGGUUACGUCCUCUUUCAUCAUGCUGUUUUUUUUCCUUCUGACUCAAACUAGCACUUGAACAAAGCUGACCAUUUCAUAAGUCUACGUUCACUUUUCCAUUGGGUCCUAGACUUUCAGAAAAGUCCGUCGUCUUCUUUAUUCAUUACCUGCCGGACCUUUCACGACUUCGUCGCCCACUCGGCCGCUUCGCGACCUUCACACCGCUUCGCUCGCUUAGCUAUUCUACCCUGAAACCUAUGACGUC
Molecule: long non-coding RNA, 1553 nt
Filed under: Orbicella faveolata
Lineage: Eukaryota; Metazoa; Cnidaria; Anthozoa; Scleractinia; Merulinidae
Description: uncharacterized LOC110052212
Source: RNAcentral